GAUGAACGCUGGCGGCGUGCCUAAUACAUGCAAGUCGAGCGAACGGACGAGAAGCUUGCUUCUCUGAUGUUAGCGGCGGACGGGUGAGUAACACGUGGAUAACCUACCUAUAAGACUUGGAUAACUUCGUGAAACCGGAGCUAAUACCGGAUAAUAUUUUGAACCGCAUGGUUCAAAAGUGAAAGACGGUCUUGCUGUCACUUAUAGAUGGAUCCGCGCUGCAUUAGCUAGUUGGUAAGGUAACGGCUUACCAAGGCAACGAUGCAUAGCCGACCUGAGAGGGUGAUCGGCCACACUGGAACUGAGACACGGUCCAGACUCCUACGGGAGGCAGCAGUAGGGAAUAUUCCGCAAUGGGCGAAAGCCUGACGGAGCAACGCCGCGUGAGUGAUGAAGGUCUUCGGAUCGUAAAACUCUGUUAUUAGGGAAGAACAGAUGUGUAAGUAACUGUGCACAUCUUGACGGUACCUAAUCAGAAAGCCACGGCUAACUACGUG
RNAcentral lists this ribosomal RNA (497 nucleotides) under uncultured bacterium. RNAcentral describes it as "partial 16S ribosomal RNA". It matches the Rfam family "Bacterial small subunit ribosomal RNA", at positions 28 to 507 of the family's 1533-position model. The record is from RNAcentral.